ACUUAACAACAUACAACUGGCAUAAUAGCUUUUCUAUCGGUAGAGGAGCGUUGUAUAUGAAUUGAAGCAAAAAGCGUAAGCAAUUGUGGAUUAUAUACAAGUGAGAAUGCUGGCAUGAGUAGCGAAAAGGGAUGUGAGAAUCAUCCCCGUCGAAAGCCCAAGGAUUCCUGAGCAAGGCUCGUCCUCUCAGGGUAAGUCGGGACCUAAGGCGAGGCCGAAAGGCGUAGUCGAUGGACAACAGGUAGAAAUUCCUGUACUACAAGAUUGUGAUUGAGAGAAGUACUGACGCAGAAGGAAAAGUCGAGCGUGUGAAUGGUAGAACACGUCCAAGUAACAAGCCAGAAUAUACAGGCAAAUCCGUAUAUUCGCAAACGUAAGUUAUCAUGGGGAGCAGAAAGAUGCGAAGCGACAGAUUCAAACUGCCAAGAAAAGGUGCUAUCGAAUAAUCUUGUACCCGUACCGCAAACCGACACAGGUAGGCAAGAAGAGAAUUCUAAGACGCGCGGAAGAACCUUUGUUAAGGAACUCGGCAAAAUAAUCCCGUAAGUUAGCGAGAAGGGAUGCCUAAGAAAUUAGGUCGCAGAGAAUAGGCCCAAGCGACUGUUUACCAAAAACACAAGUAUCUGCUAAAUCGAAAGAUGAAGUAUAGGUGCUGACACCUGCCCGGUGCUGGAAGGUCAAGGGGACUUGUUAGAGCAAUCGAAGCAACGAACUUAAGCCCCAGUAAACGGCGGCCGUAACUAUAACGGUCCUAAGGUAGCGAAAUUCCUUGUCGGGUAAGUUCCGACCCGCACGAAAGGUGUAACGAUUUGGGCGCUGUCUCAACAAAGGAUCCGGUGAAAUUGUAGUAGUCGUGAAGAUGCGACUUACCCACGGUAGGACGGAAAGACCCCGUGGAGCUUUACUGCAGGUUGACAUUGAAUUUUGGGAUUAAAUGUACAGGAUAGGUGGGAGACUAAGAAGCAAGCUCGCCAGAGUUUGCAGAGUCACUGUUGGGAUACCACCCUUUUAAUUCUAAAGUUCUAACUAGUUGCCAUGAAACUGGUAAUAGGACACUGUCAGUCGGGCAGUUUGACUGGGGCGGUCGCCUCCAAAAAAGUAACGGAGGCGUUCAAAGGUUCGCUCAGAAUGGUUGGAAAUCAUUCAAAGAGUACAAAGGCAAAAGCGAGCUUAACUGCGAGACAUACAGGUCGAGCAGAGACGAAAGUCGGACUUAGUGAUCCGGUGGUACCGAGUGGAAGGGCCAUCGCUCAACGGAUAAAAGCUACCCCGGGGAUAACAGGCUUAUCUCCCCCAAGAGUCCACAUCGACGGGGAGGUUUGGCACCUCGAUGUCGGCUCGUCUCAUCCUGGAGCUGGAGUAGGUUCCAAGGGUUGGGCUGUUCGCCCAUUAAAGAGGCACGCGAGCUGGGUUCAGAACGUCGUGAGACAGUUCGGUCCCUAUCCACCGUGGGCGUGAGAAAUUUGAGAGGAUCUGUCCUUAGUACGAGAGGACCGGGAUGGACAGACCGCUGGUGUACGAGUUGUACUGCCAAGUGCACAGCUCGGUAGCUACGUCUGGGAAGGAUAAGUGCUGAAGGCAUCUAAGCACGAAACCAACCUCAAGAUAAGAUUUCUAUGAGAUUACUUGAAGAAAACAAGAUAGAUAGGUCAGAGGUGUAAAGAUAGUAAUAUCAAAGCUAACUGAUACUAAUAAAUCGAAAACUUGACUGG
Molecule: ribosomal RNA, 1712 nt
Filed under: Enterobacter hormaechei
Lineage: Bacteria; Pseudomonadati; Pseudomonadota; Gammaproteobacteria; Enterobacterales; Enterobacteriaceae
Description: partial 23S ribosomal RNA
Rfam family: Bacterial large subunit ribosomal RNA
Source: RNAcentral